UGUUCUGUGGUGUAACGGUAGCACAGCAGAUUCUGAUUCUGUUUGUCUGGGUUCGAAUCCUAGCAGAACAA
This 71-nucleotide transfer RNA is filed under the name Microbacter margulisiae. It matches the Rfam family "tRNA". Rfam says of the family: Transfer RNA (tRNA) molecules are approximately 80 nucleotides in length. Lineage: Bacteria; Pseudomonadati; Bacteroidota; Bacteroidia; Bacteroidales; Porphyromonadaceae. The record is from Rfam by way of RNAcentral.